Molecule: long non-coding RNA, 913 nt
Organism: Beta vulgaris subsp. vulgaris (sugar beet)
Lineage: Eukaryota; Viridiplantae; Streptophyta; Magnoliopsida; Caryophyllales; Amaranthaceae
Exons: 3
Source: RefSeq, a predicted model, not a curated record
CGUCACCUGAAAGUUCCACUUUUCCAUCUCAGCCCUCCAUCUACGCUUUCAUCUAAGCCACUGGAUUCUUCUCUUCUCCAUCCUCUUCAUUGCGUCUCUCUCCUCUCCCCUUUCUCUGGCUUUCGUAUGUUGCUCUAAUUGUCUCUUCUCUCUCCUGUUUCUCACCACAACUUCUUCAGUUACUUCAAUUUAAAACCCUAGCAUACUUUUCCCCAAUUUCUAGGGUUUUCACUUUCGAAUUUCACGUUCAUGAUGGACAUUGAAUAGAUCUGUUUAGAAUUGUUCAACUCUAAAACUUUUGUUUUCACUUCCGAAUUCUCUAUAACUCGCCAUUUUCCAGAAUCAUACAAAUACACGAUUCAAAAUUACUUCGAAAGAGAGGAGAGAGAAACUGAAGCACCAAAGUUUAACAAAAAUGGCGACAUCAAGAGUAGAUAUGAAGGGAUUAUACAAGCAGAAGAAGAAGGUGUUAUAGAAAACCCACCUGGAGCGUCAAAAAAUCAAGUGAAAUAGCUCUCAAUUCUUUGAUCCUCAAGUUUUGGUUCUCAUCUUCAAAUUUUUGUCUAAGUGCAAAGAUGUAUCGGCUCGAGUCAAAAUAAUUGCAGAUCUUCUUGAUUCAAGUCCGUCGAACAUAGAAGCAUUGAUGGAGUAUGGAUGGACUGCUUGGUUGACAGCUUCAAUGUAGCUUGAUGUAGUGAAACAUUACAAACUGGAGUCGGUUAGUCAAAGCAAAAGUGAGAUGAUUGAACAAAAUUUUGUGAGAACAUUGUUUUGUGUUGUCCUUUGCUAUUAUCUGAUAUUUGUGAAAGCUAAUUGUCAACAUUUGGAGGAGGCAGUGAAUUUCAUACUCUUGCAUUUUGAAAAGGUGGUUCUAAAUUCUUUGUACUUUGUUGAAUUUUUAAAUGUUUUUAUA